This 1372-nucleotide long non-coding RNA is filed under the name Hordeum vulgare. RNAcentral's name for it is "long non-coding RNA (HVUL_LNC011180)". The record is from RNAcentral. Lineage: Eukaryota; Viridiplantae; Streptophyta; Magnoliopsida; Poales; Poaceae.
CAACGGACCACCGACCAAUGGGCCAACCCAAUAGAUCCAAUGAUUGGUCCACACCCCGGUAGCCAACGCAGGCCCGAAAGACCGAGCAGGGUUCAUGGACGCCCCAGAGAAGUUGCCGCCCGCAAUGGUGUUGGCACCGACAAUAAGGCCGGUGAGCAUCGGUCCGUAGCCGGGCACCGUGGUCCGCGGGUCGAGGAUGGUGGCGUACACGACGAAGAGGAGGGAGAAGGUGAGGAUGAUCUCCAUGACCAGGCCUUGCAUGGGGCCUAUGCCUGCGCCCAGGGUGUGCACCGGAACCGGUGUAGGCUGCAUCAAUAAUUGCACAUGUGGAGAAUGUUUAGAUUUUGGAACGAUUCAUUGUCACGGCAAGCAAUAUUCAAUAAUUAAAACAAAUAGUACAUCUAUGUGGUACCAUACGUGUCCUUAUUUCCCUUGCAGGCGUACUAUACGUGUCUUAUUCGUAAUGUUUUGAAAUCAAUAUGAUUUAAUUGUUAUAAAUGUAUGUACAUGUAUAUAAUUAUUUGUGUUCGUGCUGUGCUCAAAGAAAAGUACUUCCGUCUUAAAAUAAGUGACUCAAAAAUGACUCCGUUUUGUACUAACUUUAGUACAAAAUAAAGUCAUUUUUAAGUCACUUAUUUUGAAAGUAUGAUUUAACUAUCUGAGCAGCAGUGAUUUGGCGUAUCCACUUUUUAAAGGACAAGUCAAUUACCAGGGCAGGCAGAAACAUAGCAGGGGUAGGGUCGUACCUGGCCGCCGGUGAGGCACCGGAGGAGGAUGCAGGCGAGGGAGGAGGCCAGCAGCUGGGCCACCACGUACAGCACCGCCCGGAACGCCGUGAUGUGCCCGCGCGCCAGCAGCGCCACCGUCACCGCCGGGUUGAGGUGCCCGCCGGAGACAUGGAACCCCGCCGUCACCAACACCCCCGCCGCCAGCGCCUGCGCAAGCGCAACCCCGGCCAACGUCGCCAUCGGCAUAGCCGCGCCCGGCAGCUCCGGCACCCCUGCAAAUUUACCGACCAACUAUGAGUACCACCGAUCCCUCACCUCACGGCGUGUCACAAGGUCUAUAACCCAAAUUGUAGGACGAAAACACGUGUCGUACGUAACAACUAACAACUAACAAAUCGCCAGCAGACAGAUGAAGAGAGCACGAGUGCAUGCAUACCGGCGGCCAUGGCGGCGGCGACUCCGGUGAAGACGAAGAGGAAGGUGAGGACCAGCUCCCCCAGCACGGUGCGGACGCAGCCGGUGUCGACGACGGCGACUUCACGCUCGUCGAACGAAUCCGCGUGCUUGGUGGCGGCCAUGGCGGGACUGAACUCCACCACACUCGUCGCUCUUGUUCUUGGGAUGGAAGGAAGGAAGGAAGAGGG